ACAUAUUAGUUUUGCAUCUCCGAGGUGCUCAGUUGCAUCUGCACAGUGAGCGAGGAAACUAGGCACAAUGGUCAACCAUCCGUCCGAAGGGCAGAGCUUGGCGGCAACCUACUGCAUCCUCUUGCUGCUUCUCGGGGCACUCUGGAUGUUAUACUCCGUCUUUUAAACCAGUGUUGCGGUUAAAACUCAAGAGACCAAUGAAGCAGGUGAAUAGUAAAAAAAAAACUAAAAUGAAUGUAACAUAAGAGAGCCGUAAUUUUAGUAUCUAAGUUAUUAAUUUAAGUAUGUCACAUACCCAAGCAUUUAAAAAUCCGUUAGACCGGAAGAACAUCGAUGGAAGUAGCUCAAAACUGCCAGAAGACCAUAACGAGUAGACCGGAAAGACCACGGACACGGACGGUGCUGGGCAUUCCAAUUUAAAAAAAUCUCCUGACCAACGAGGCCUAGGCCGCUAGAAAAGUAAACAACGAGAAAGACAUCUUUGUACUUCAAAUUAACAUGAACGACACGUUUUUUUUGUUCCUAGUUUGUAAUCGUUGCUCGAUGCGUAUCAACCUGUCUUUAGAUUAUCGUUAUGGUGUAAGAGUUUUGUAAUAAACGUUGUUUUUUAAGUAUC
Papilio polytes (common Mormon) is the source of this 616-nucleotide long non-coding RNA. RefSeq lists it as uncharacterized. The record is from RefSeq and is a predicted model, not a curated record. The transcript is spliced from 2 exons. NCBI's taxonomy places the organism in Eukaryota, Metazoa, Arthropoda, Insecta, Lepidoptera, Papilionidae.